GCACUCAGAAAUGGGCCAGGGUCGCGAAGACCCACGCGUGCCCGCGCUUCCCUUGUAAGGAGGGGGUCGACGGUUCGAGUCCGUCAGAGGGCU
This 93-nucleotide transfer RNA is filed under the name Actinomycetota bacterium. RNAcentral's name for it is "Actinobacteria bacterium tRNA-Thr". The record is from RNAcentral. Lineage: Bacteria; Bacillati; Actinomycetota.